CCUACGGGUGGCAGCAGUGAGGAAUAUUGGUCAAUGGACGAGAGUCUGAACCAGCCAAGUAGCGUGAAGGAUGACUGCCCUAUGGGUUGUAAACUUCUUUUAUAUGGGAAUAAAAUGUUCCACGUGUGGGAUUUUGUAUGUACCAUAUGAAUAAGGAUCGGCUAACUCCGUGCCAGCAGCCGCGGUAAUACGGAGGAUCCGAGCGUUAUCCGGAUUUAUUGGGUUUAAAGGGAGCGUAGGUGGAUUGUUAAGUCAGCUGUGAAAGUUUGCGGCUCAACCGUAAAAUUGCAGUUGAAACUGGCAGUCUUGAGUACAGUAGAGGUGGGCGGAAUUCGUGGUGUAGCGGUGAAAUGCUUAGAUAUCACGAAGAACUCCGAUUGCGAAGGCAGUUCACUGGACUGCAACUGACACUGAGGCUCGAAAGUGUGGGUAUCAAACAGGAUUAGAUACCCGAGUAGUC
Molecule: ribosomal RNA, 460 nt
Filed under: uncultured bacterium
Lineage: Bacteria
Description: partial 16S ribosomal RNA
Rfam family: Bacterial small subunit ribosomal RNA
Source: RNAcentral